Molecule: transfer RNA, 74 nt
Filed under: beta proteobacterium AAP99
Lineage: Bacteria; Pseudomonadati; Pseudomonadota; Betaproteobacteria
Also listed under: 3 other names
Description: tRNA-Cys
Rfam family: tRNA
About the family: Transfer RNA (tRNA) molecules are approximately 80 nucleotides in length. Their secondary structure includes four short double-helical elements and three loops (D, anti-codon, and T loops).
Source: RNAcentral
GGCGGGUUAGCAAAGCGGUUAUGCAGCGGAUUGCAAAUCCGUUUAGCUCGGUUCGACUCCGGGACCCGCCUCCA